UGCAGAUCAUCGCCAUGGCUGCUGUAAGGCUCCUGUCGUCUUAGAAGGACAUUCCCGUUGAUCCACUCACAUAUUCUUUAAAGUGUGUUG
Long non-coding RNA from Sinocyclocheilus rhinocerous, 90 nucleotides. RefSeq lists it as uncharacterized. NCBI's taxonomy places the organism in Eukaryota, Metazoa, Chordata, Actinopteri, Cypriniformes, Cyprinidae. The transcript has 3 exons. The record is from RefSeq and is a predicted model, not a curated record.